Long non-coding RNA from Magnolia sinica, 1286 nucleotides. RefSeq lists it as uncharacterized. Lineage: Eukaryota; Viridiplantae; Streptophyta; Magnoliopsida; Magnoliales; Magnoliaceae. The record is from RefSeq and is a predicted model, not a curated record. The transcript has 3 exons.
UCUGCCCGUCCCUUUUCUCUCUCUAUCUCCCGAACCCUCCCUCACGAAUACUCCCCUCUCACGAACCCCUCUUCUCUCCCUAGGCAUCCCCUCUCUCUCGAUCUCAAGAUGACUCCCCUCUCUCACGCCAUAAUCUGCGUCCAUUUUAGGUUUUGGAGAAACAUAGGAUUGAUUAGUCGCUUGAACACACUAGCCUAUUUAUUGAGAAGCUGAAGAAAGUGUUGGAGGGAUGCCUAUGUUCUUCAUAAAAGGGUGAAGAAGCUCCUAGUAAAAAUCUUGCAGUUUGAUAAAUUUGAAAGCCUACUAACAGAUUUUCAGCCCCAAAGAAAUCACCAAAGAAUAAACUGAUGUAUCGACUCACUAAUAGAAAGUUUCCCUAUGCAGGUAAGUUGUGUACACGUCCCUUUUUAUAUUCAAGUCAUUCCCUUGAUUUAUGCAAAACUAGGCUACCCAAAACUUAUGGACAACUCCCAUUGCCUUUGAACUGCUAUAACUAGCAUGUGUGGAUUGGUAGAAGUACGAAUGUACUUGCCCAAAAUGUUUCUGAGGUGUCUAGUUCUCUACAUGAAGUAAAAUUUUUUGAGGGAGUAUUGAAGCUCUCUGGAUAUUUAUUUGGUCAUUCUAAUACUUUCUCCCCAAAGGUAUGCAUGAUUCACAUCCAAACACAACCCAUUACUAGGUUGCAUUUGGAUGCAAUAUUCAUAAACUUCAUAAUUUUAUUCUUUUCAUAUGCGCAAUUAUAUCUAUUGAUAUUUUCUUUUGAAACCUAGAACCCAAGAUUUUAAGGAUUCAUCCUGUUUUGUCAAUAAUAUAUGUGACAACUCUACAUAAUACUGCUACUCAAGCCACGUGCACCUCCCAGAACCGCAUUCAUAAUAUCUCUGCAUUCACCAUCAUGAUUUUCUCAUGCUCUUAACCAUUGCAUGUCUUUAAGCAGGUAAUGAGUUUUAUUUACAAGCGCAAUUGCAAUAUUCUUUACAGUCCAUACAUGUGCUCUAACUAGGACUAGUGUUUUGAUGCAACCAGAAGCAGAUAGAACAGACUUCGAAAAUCUCCUUGAUCGAAAGAUUCUAGCCACCCAACUUGGGAUUUUCUCCAUUGAAUGUGGACCAUUACCUUGCUUCUCAUAUUAACCAUCUAUUUGCAGGCCGAGAAUUGAAAGGAUGGGACUGAUCUAUCACACAAAUUUUAUUUAUUUAUUUAUUUUUAAUAGAGUUGCCCAGUUGAAACAUUUUAGUAUUGUCCAUGUCAUCAAAAUUAUGGUACAACAUCUUUCUGCAUAAGAG